RNAcentral lists this ribosomal RNA (253 nucleotides) under uncultured bacterium. RNAcentral describes it as "partial 16S ribosomal RNA". It matches the Rfam family "Bacterial small subunit ribosomal RNA", at positions 524 to 776 of the family's 1533-position model. The record is from RNAcentral.
UACGGAGGAUGCAAGCGGUAUCCGGCAUGAUUGGGCGUAAAGCGUCCGCAGGUGGUUGUGUGUGUCUAUUGUCAAAGCAUCAUGCUUAACAUGAUAAAGGCAGUAGAAACUACACGACUAGAGUGCGUUCGGGGCAGAGGGAAUUCCUGGUGUAGCGGUGAAAUGCGUAGAGAUCAGGAAGAACACCGGUGGCGAAAGCGCUCUGCUGGGCCGCAACUGACACUGAGGGACGAAAGCUAGGGGAGCGAAUGGG